RNAcentral lists this ribosomal RNA (425 nucleotides) under uncultured prokaryote. RNAcentral describes it as "bacterial SSU rRNA". It matches the Rfam family "Bacterial small subunit ribosomal RNA", at positions 355 to 796 of the family's 1533-position model. The record is from RNAcentral.
UGGGGAAUCUUGCGCAAUGGGCGAAAGCCUGACGCAGCGAUGCCGCGUGGGGGAUGAAGGCUCUCGGGUCGUAAACCCCUUUCAGCAGGGACGAAAAUGACGGUACCUCCAGAAGAAGGACCGGCCAACUACGUGCCAGCAGCCGCGGUAAUACGUAGGGUCCUAGCGUUAUCCGGAAUCAUUGGGCGUAAAGAGCUCGUAGGCGGUUCAGCAAGUCGGCUGUGAAAGUCCGAGGCUCAACCUCGGAAUUGCAGUCGAUACUGCUGUGACUCGAGUCCGGUAGAGGAGAAUGGAAUUCCCGGUGUAGCGGUGAAAUGCGCAGAUAUCGGGAGGAACACCAGUAGCGAAGGCGGUUCUCUGGGCCGGCACUGACGCUGAGGAGCGAAAGCGUGGGGAGCAAACAGGAUUAGAUACCCCCGUAGUCC